Molecule: non-coding RNA, 320 nt
Organism: Pelobates cultripes (western spadefoot toad)
Lineage: Eukaryota; Metazoa; Chordata; Amphibia; Anura; Pelobatidae
Source: the annotation of a GenBank genome assembly
CUUAAACAAGGUGUUUCCAGCAGCAUGUAAACUUGGCGAUAUGGGAUGGGUGAAGGAACAGUAAAACACAUCUGGUGGGAUUGUCCUCGUAUAGUGCCGUAUUGGGAUGCAAUCAAAAUUUUAGGUUAAGUGCCACAUCGAUUUAGAGAAUGUACUCUUAAAUUCCACAACAGCCAUCGUAGCAUCUCAUCAAGUCCUUGGUGCCUGCCCUCUGGCAAUAAGAUAAAGCCUGAUGAACUGAUGAAGAGGGUGGAGGACAAUUCAGAUGGCAGAAUCCAUGCAUGCAUCCUUGACAGGGAAUUCCACGAAACAUGUCGAGC